Molecule: long non-coding RNA, 1030 nt
Organism: Phragmites australis (common reed)
Lineage: Eukaryota; Viridiplantae; Streptophyta; Magnoliopsida; Poales; Poaceae
Exons: 3
Source: RefSeq, a predicted model, not a curated record
UGAAGGUUGCUGAAGAUGCUGGUUGUACCGUGUUGAUGGCACGAUCGAUCUUGCUGAUGACGUGUCGAAAUUGUUGACAAUGAUAGCGGCAGCGCCCAAGCGACCAGGAAGACGAGCAGUGGUGAAGAACUUGAGCAGUCACGCGGAGUGCUUCCCAAAAACCUUAUUCGCCCUCUCCCGGUGCAAGAUCUCAAGAGCGAGAGUUUCGGAGACCUGCUCUUCUAAUUACCGGUGCACGCCAACACCGGGAGUAGACUACAGCAGCAACACAAUAGAGAAAGAGGUUGACCAAUCAGGCACCAAACAACAUGCAUGUGGAUCCUCAUUGUGCAUCCCAUGAACAUGAGGAGUCCAUCACGGAUGAUGAAAUUUUGAGGUAAGAACACGACGCCUUUGAUGCAUGACAAAGGAACCGAUUGAACUUCAACCGUCAAGAUAUGAGAGAAAAAGAAUUGCAAGGACGACAACAGAGGCUAAGGAACAAUUUUGGAAGCACGACUACACCAAGAUCAACUCUGGGACAAGUCAAAACAACCCCACCUUCCGCUACACGAUUUGCUGCCCCUUUCUCGAGUAGGGCACGUUCAGCAACACCUCUGACACCAUCACAAGCACCCAAGGUAAGCAAAUCUACUAGUGUGCAGGCUCCAACCAAGAGCUCUUAUUCGGUUGCUUCUACGGGCUGUACAACAGGGAUUGUAUGCCACCGUUGAAACGGAAUAUGUCAUAUCAUAAAGGAUUUCCUAAGUCAGCGAGCGUACAUUGCAAUAGAAGACAGUGGCUAUGUAAGUACUAGUGAUGUCGAUGAUGAUUAGUCUCUUGCAGCUAACCAUGCAAGUGAUGAGGACGAACAAGAGAUGAAUAGCGAUCAUGGGGAAGAAUUGAGGGCCACUGCUAUGGAGGAUUAUAUGACCCUCAUUGUGCAGCGAGUGUUAAGCACUCAAAUGGAGAAAGCGGGACAGAUAAAAUGCCACAAUUUAUUUUAGAUGUUCCUCAUAGUCAAGGAUUGCCAUGUUCGUGUCAUUAUUGA